GACGAACGCUGGCGGCGUGCUUAACACAUGCAAGUCGAACGCUGAAGCUUGGUGCUUGCUCUGGGUGGAUGAGUGGCGAACGGGUGAGUAAUACGUGAGUAACCUGCCCUUGACUCUGGGAUAAGCCUGGGAAACUGGGUCUAAUACUGGAUAUGACAUGCCACUGCAUGGUGGUGUGUGGAAAGGGUUUUACUGGUUUUGGAUGGGCUCACGGCCUAUCAGCUUGUUGGUGGGGUAAUGGCCUACCAAGGCGACGACGGGUAGCCGGCCUGAGAGGGUGACCGGCCACACUGGGACUGAGACACGGCCCAGACUCCUACGGGAGGCAGCAGUGGGGAAUAUUGCACAAUGGGCGGAAGCCUGAUGCAGCGACGCCGCGUGAGGGAUGACGGCCUUCGGGUUGUAAACCUCUUUCAGCACGGAAGAAGCGAGAGUGACGGUACGUGCAGAAGAAGCGCCGGCUAACUACGUG
RNAcentral lists this ribosomal RNA (472 nucleotides) under uncultured bacterium. RNAcentral's name for it is "partial 16S ribosomal RNA". It matches the Rfam family "Bacterial small subunit ribosomal RNA", at positions 28 to 507 of the family's 1533-position model. The record is from RNAcentral.